This 510-nucleotide ribosomal RNA is filed under the name uncultured bacterium. Its description in RNAcentral is "partial 16S ribosomal RNA". It matches the Rfam family "Bacterial small subunit ribosomal RNA", at positions 28 to 507 of the family's 1533-position model. The record is from RNAcentral.
GACGAACGCUGGCGGCGUGCUUAACACAUGCAAGUCGAACGAAGAGCGAUGGAAGCUUGCUUCUAUCAAUCUUAGUGGCGAAUGGGUGAGUAACGAGUAAUCAACCUGCGCUUAAGAGGGGGAUAACAGUUGGAAACGACUGCUAAUACCGCAUACGAUCUAAUCUCGGCAUCGAGGAUAGAUGAAAGGUGGCUUCUACAUGUAAGCUAUAAGAGAAGGAGGUGAUUGCGUCUGAUUAGAUAGUUGGAGUGGUAACGGCCCACCAAGGACAUGAUCGGGAGCGGGUCUGAGAGGAUGAACGGCCGCAUUGGGACUGAGACACGGCCCAGACUCCUACGGGAUGCAGCAGUGGGGAAUCUUCCGCAAUGGACGAAGGUCUGACGGAGCAACGCCGCGUGAGCGAUGACGGCCUUCGGGUUGUAAAGCUCUGUUAAUCGGGACGAAAGGCCUUCUUGCGAAUAGUGAGAAGGAUUGACGGUACCGGAAUAGAAAGCCACGGCUAACUACGUG